AUGUUGAGUCUCGCUUGGACUCGUCGCGGCGACGCGGAGGCACCACCCACCCCAACCCCAACCUGGGGUGGCUGCUCUCUCCACGGACUCGACAUUGAGGUGGUGAGGGAGAAGGACACUGUCCCUGGCGGCAACGGCAACGGGCUAGUUGCAAUCCCUUCGUAUUUUUGGGGCGCCCGGCUGGCGAAGCGGCAAGAUGGAGGCUUCCCCUUGUACACGGGCUACUCGGCGGCGAGGGCCUUGGUCGGCAAGGGGGCGGGGGCCAUGGCGGAUCUGAGAAGGCUGUCUCGCGAGGCGGAAGACAUGCUGGCGGAGAUGUUUGCUAGCAUUAGCAGUGAUGGCGGAGGCGACGCGGCACGGCCCAGGGUGGUGCAACUGCAACUGUCGCCGGAGCUGGCGCUGUGGAAAAGCACGCAGCACGCAAUCGGCAACGUGUUGCCCACUAAGGGCGCCGGGCUGGUCCAAGCCACGCCGCAGGUUCUCGCCUUGCUGGGCGCCGCCGACUGGCCUGAGGCGAUGACAACAACCAACGCCCUAUCUGGUAGCGGCAUGGCGAACCUGCUGAUUGGCGCCUCCGACGUGCGCACCCUCUUCUCCAACUACGUGGUGGACAUGGCAUUUUAUUACGAGCACGGGUACCACAAGGUGUUCCCCUCCUUCAGCCGCCUCCUGCGCGACGGGCUCGCCGACGCCCGCUCGCUACGAACCCCUGGUGGCCAGCAGCGACCCGAGGCCGUCGCCAUCGGCGCGUCCUACAUCCGAGCCAAGAUCGCAUUGGAGGCGGCGCACAGGACGCUCCUCAAGGACCGGUCGGGGCAGAUGGACCGCCACGCCGCCCAGGUCAUGUCCCUGUGCGAGAGCAGCAUCCUCGGCAUGGGGGCUGAGGCCAUAGCCCGGGGCUUCGAUGUCGGCGCCGUCACGAGCGACCUCGUCUUCAGCUCGCCCGGCACCGAUGUCAUCGAUGUGGGCAGUGACCUGGUAAACUCCGAGGUCAUGAACUCGUUCCUCAACGUGGCCGACAUCGCCGCCACAGGCGUGGUGAGCGAGACGGCGCUGCGGGCCAUCUACGACGCCUACGCUGCCACGGGAGCUCGGAUGUACACUCAGAGGUGGCACGAGCCUGUGGCCCGGAUGUGCAUCACCUUGUACACUUGGCACCUGCACAACGACCGGCACAUGUUCCUCCGCCGUGCCCUCCUAGGAUGGCCCAAGGCCCGCAAGUCCCCGGCGCGGCCCCAGCGAGAGGCCGACUUCGACGAGGUCUUCGACACCGACUUUCAUACCACCGGCUUCAGCAGGCCCCUUGACGCUGAGUAUGCCUGCAAUGGGGAAGAAACCUGCGACCACGUCCGGCGCUUCCUCAAAGUAAAAGGAGACCAAGACCACCUGCUGGCCGCCCUUUGGUCGUCCAUUGUCACCGGUCCGCUGGAGUACGUCCGGAAGGGCGAGGUGGACGAGCAGCGUGAGAAACACCUCAUUGAAUCCUCGCGCCUGCAAAUGGUCCAGCUCUUCUCCAAGGGCCUCAUCGACGAAAUGGUUUGGCUCGUCGCCCAUGCAAGCCACCAUGCCUGGCAGGUGAACUAUCUGUUUGAGGCCGCCAUGUUUGGCAGCAUACUGGACGGGGGCGAGUUGAUAGGCAAGCUCGAUCGGGCGGAAUAG
This 1659-nucleotide ribosomal RNA is filed under the name Triticum aestivum (bread wheat). Its description in RNAcentral is "partial small subunit ribosomal RNA". The record is from RNAcentral. Lineage: Eukaryota; Viridiplantae; Streptophyta; Magnoliopsida; Poales; Poaceae.